This 253-nucleotide ribosomal RNA is filed under the name uncultured bacterium. RNAcentral's name for it is "partial 16S ribosomal RNA". It matches the Rfam family "Bacterial small subunit ribosomal RNA", at positions 524 to 776 of the family's 1533-position model. The record is from RNAcentral.
UACGGAGGGUGCAAGCGUUGUCCGGAUUUAUUGGGUUUAAAGGGUGCGUAGGCGGCCCGUUAAGUCAGUGGUGAAAGCCUCCAGCUCAACUGGAGAACUGCCAUUGAUACUGGCGGGCUUGAGUACAGAAGAGGUUGGCGGAAUUGAUUGUGUAGCGGUGAAAUGCAUAGAUACAGUCAAGAACACCGAUUGCGUAGGCAGCUAACUAGGCUGUAACUGACGCUGAGGCACGAAAGCGUGGGGAGCGAACAGG